This 3292-nucleotide unclassified non-coding RNA is filed under the name Hevea brasiliensis (rubber tree). Lineage: Eukaryota; Viridiplantae; Streptophyta; Magnoliopsida; Malpighiales; Euphorbiaceae. The record is from RNAcentral.
UGCUGAAUUGCUAAAAUUAAAAUUGAAAGGGAAACUUGCUCAGUUGCCUUGGCCACAAUAUUAUAGUCAAAUAAUCUUCUCUUUUCACAUGCUAUUUUGUGAAAAGUGACACUGACACACAAGGGUUAUUGUUAUUGCCUGGCGAAUUGCUUGCAUAUAGCAAUUUUUGUUUAAUUUAUUAUGGUUUUGAGUUCGAAAUGGUUUAACACAAAGGAAAACAUGGAAUCAAUACAUAACUGCAAUUUUCACCCUCUUUAUUUUUGUUCAUUUCCCGGCAACUCCAGAAUUUCAAACUUGAAUGAACAUAUAUACCAGCGUUAUAUGAACAUUAGCUCUAUCUGCUGCUCCUCUCAGGUUCAUGGAGCUGCAGAAGCAAUGAGUUGGUGACAACAAAUAUUGAGCUCAAAGCCAUCAGCCCACCUGAAAGUGACGGAGUCAUGGCAAAAUCACAUUGGGGAAGCAGUACCCCAGCGGCAAUGGGAAUGGCAACAACAUUGUAAGCAAUAGCCCAAGAUAAAUUUUGAUACACUUUGGUCAUUGUUGCUCGCGCCAGAUCCAAUGCAUCUACAACCUGUGAGAGUCUGUUCCCAAGAAGUAUAAUAGAUGCUACAUCAGAUGCAGCAUUUUCUUGAGCUUCAUUCUGCAGGGCAAUCCCAACAUCAGCAAGAGCCAAAGAAGGUGCAUCAUUUAUCCCAUCACCUACCAUUGCAACGCGAUGCCCUGCAGCUUGAAGAGUUGAUAUAACACCAGAUUUCUGUUGUGGAGUCAAGGAUGCAUUGAUAAAUUCAGCUCCUAUUCCAACUCUGUUUGCAAUGUUUGCAACUGCCUCUUCCCUAUCUCCUGACACGAGGAGUGUAUUGAUACCUUUAAGCUGGAGCCUAUGUACAGUUGAUUCAGCAUCAUGGCGCAAACUAUCGGAUAUUGCAAUGGCACCAAUGAUGCCUUCCCCUUCACGUCCAACAUAGACGACCGUUUUUGAAUAGUUUGAUGAUAAAAUCCCUUUAGAUGACUGAGAUGCUACAGCAUUUUCCAGAUUCCUCAGAUCUGACAGGUUUGUCCUUCUCUGGAAUCGUUCAUGAACCCAAUCUAAACUACCAACCGCAACCAAACAUCUGUCUACUUCUGCUAAGGUUCCAAAACCUGGUUCUGUCAAUUGCCCUCUUGUUUCUGGGAUAGUCAAUUUCAUUGAUUCUGCUUCAUUCACAAUAGCUUUUGCAAUUGGAUGCAAUGCUGUUUUCUCCACUGCAGCAGCAAUUUGAAGAAUUUCUGAUUCCUCAUACGCAAUUGAAGCCACAGCAGAAACAGCAGGUUUUCCUUCGGUGAGGGUACCAGUCUUGUCCAAAGCAAUGUAAUUAAUGCUUGAAAAGCGUUCCAAUACGUCUCCUCCUCUUAUAAGAAGUCCUUGCUUAGCUCCAAGUGAAGUUCCAACUAGAAUUGCAGUGGGUGUGGCAAGUCCCAAUGCACAGGGGCAGGAAACUACCAAGACAUCCACGGAAAGUUUCAAGCUCAAAAGCAAAGCGUCUCCAUUGGGUCCAGCAAUAUCAUUGAGCAAAACAUCUGGAAAAACAUGCGAUCCAAUGUAGUACCAAAAAGCAAAUGUCGCUGCUGAAAUGGUCAUUACACUGUAUACAAAUGGCCCAGCUAAUGAAUCUGCAAGUCUUUGUAUGGGUGCUUCAUGACCUUGAGCUUCCUCAACCAUGUGAAAAAUCCUAGAUAUUGUUGAGUUGGAACCAGUAGAGGAGGCCUCGAUCCUUAAAGGACCAUCCCAGUUUAUAGUUCCAGCUGAGACUUUAAGGCCUUCUUCCUUAAAUACAGGUAGCGAUUCUCCUGUGAGCAUGGAUUCAUCCACAACACUUCUUCCUGCAAGAACCCUACCAUCUACUGGAAUAGUUUCGCCAGGCAGAACCAACACUGUGUCUCCAACUCGAACAUCAUCAGUGGGGACUUCAACACAAAUUGCAUCAGAGCAAAGAACAGUAUCAGCAGGGGACUUGCUAUCUGAUGAAGUAAUAACAAGACGUGAUUGAGUGGACAUCAGCGACAGAAGUUCAUUCAUAUCACUAGAUGCCUUGAUCCUUGCCUUUUCUUCAAGAGAACGUCCUAGCAGCACAAAACCAAGAAGCAUGACCUGCACACUAAAAAACAUGAGCCAUACAUGAGAACUUUGUUAACCAAAAUAAAUACAUAAAGCUAUAGUGCUGGACAGAAAAGUAGUUGAUGCAAGUAAAAAAGAGGUCUUGUCAGUUCUCAUGACAAUAAAAGUUAAAUCCAUCGGAGGUGUUCAACAGAAAUAAGCUUUAGCCAUGUUGAGCAGUACAUCCCCAGAGCUCAUUCAAAAAGAUCAGCAAACUUUUCACACAAGCAUGCAAAGAGCACACUAGAAAUUUUUUGACAAUAAAAUGUGUGAAGACUUAACGCAAGAAAUUCACCGGUUCAUCAAAGAAAUUUGCAUCCCAUUUGAGCUCAGGGUUAAGGAGUGAGAUCGCACUCAUGAUAAAUGCAGCAACUGACCCAAAUCCCACAAGAGAAUUCAUGUUUGGCGAUCCCUUCUUGAAGGCUCUUAUACCAUCAAAAAGUAAGUCUCUUCCAGGUCCCAUCAGAGCAGACAAGGCCAAACCACCCUUCACAUACGAAUUGUGCAGCACCUCCCAAAAUGAACCAUGAGCAACAUGAAUGCCAAGAGAGUGCAAAAUAUGUGAAGCGUGAGAUCCACAACAGAAAGCUACCAAAGUCCACGCAAACGCCACGCGAUUCCUACUCUUGACAAGCAACUCUUCUUUUUUCUGAACCAUCUCUCGCCACUUUUUCACAUUCUCUUUCACUCCCAGACCCGAAACCCUCCUUUUCGACUCGAAUCCGCAAUCAGUCAAUCUCCGACCAAGACUAUCCGCAAUAUCCGCCGAGGUUUCACUCUCUAAAGCCUCCGGUUUCAACUUUAACGCAGCGGUCUCGGUCAACAUGUUGACCACGACAGAUUCAAUUCGAUCAUCAGCGGAAAGCAAGGACUUGACACGGGAGACACACCCACCGCACAUCAUUCCAGAGACGUCAAGGAGAACCUGCAAGUCUUUGGGCCGUUCAGGGACUUGAAACGGCGUGUCUUGUAGUUGAGGUUUGACGUUGGAGAGAGUGAGGCGAGGAAUGGCGCAUGGCCGGGGGAUGAAACGGCAACGUUUCCGAAGGUGAGCAGCAUUGAAGUCAAAGGUGUAGUCAAGACGGUGCCUUGUGGUGUAGGCGUAGCUAAAUUUCUGGCGAGGCAAGAUCGAAAGCCUCAGCAAAUCAGUGGUCAUUU